UACGUAGGGGGCUAGCGUUGUCCGGAAUCAUUGGGCGUAAAGCGCGUGUAGGCGGUCCGGUAAGUCCGCUGUGAAAGUCGGGGGCUCAACCCUCGGAUGCCGGUGGAUACUGUCGGGCUUGAGUACGGAAGAGGCGAGUGGAAUUCCUGGUGUAGCGGUGAAAUGCGCAGAUAUCAGGAGGAACACCAAUAGCGAAGGCAGCUUGCUGGGACGUUACUGACGCUGAGGAACGAAAGCCAGGGUAGCGAACGGG
RNAcentral lists this ribosomal RNA (253 nucleotides) under uncultured bacterium. RNAcentral's name for it is "partial 16S ribosomal RNA". It matches the Rfam family "Bacterial small subunit ribosomal RNA", at positions 524 to 776 of the family's 1533-position model. The record is from RNAcentral.